GGCAAAGAGAUGUUCAAACAAAAACUUUUCUAAAGUGUGGAGUAUCAUUUUUAUUAUGGCAUCCCUAAAGCUUUGUUUUAUUCUCUCAAUUCUCCUUAUGUUAAUGUGCCGUGGAUUUCAAUCACACAAGUCAUAGCUACGUCACUGGAUGUUGAUCAUGAUCUCUCUAUAAUCGAGAAGAGGCUACUCCCUCAACUUAAUUGGUGUUUUAGUCCUUGUACUUCAGAUAGUGACUGCAGUAAUUGUUGGAUAUGUUGUACUUGUUCGUAUAACAGUGUAGAUAAUCAAUCUUCGUGUAGGAUUUAAGAUAUUUCAAAUGUUUUUGUCGUCUUUCUUAUUUAUUUGUCAUUUAAUUUUAAACUUUGUAUGAAUAAUGAAAAAAAGAUGAGCGAAUAACUUUCUAUUCAACAA
Nicotiana attenuata is the source of this 411-nucleotide long non-coding RNA. RefSeq lists it as uncharacterized. The record is from RefSeq and is a predicted model, not a curated record. NCBI's taxonomy places the organism in Eukaryota, Viridiplantae, Streptophyta, Magnoliopsida, Solanales, Solanaceae. The transcript has 2 exons.